RNAcentral lists this ribosomal RNA (497 nucleotides) under uncultured bacterium. Its description in RNAcentral is "partial 16S ribosomal RNA". It matches the Rfam family "Bacterial small subunit ribosomal RNA", at positions 28 to 507 of the family's 1533-position model. The record is from RNAcentral.
GAUGAACGCUGGCGGCGUGCCUAAUACAUGCAAGUCGAGCGAACAGACGAGGAUCUUGCUCCUCUGACGUUAGCGGCGGACGGGUGAGUAACACGUGGAUAACCUACCUAUAAGACUGGGAUAACUUCGGGAAACCGGAGCUAAUACCGGGUAAUAUAUUGAACCGCAUGGUGCAAUAGUGAAAUACGGGUUUGCUGUGACUUAUAGAUGGAUCCGCGCCGUAUUAGCUAGUUGGUAAGGUGACGGCUUACCAAGGCAACGAUGGGUAGCCGACCGGAGCGGGUGAUCGGCCACACUGGAAGGGGGCCACGCUCCAGGCUACUGCGGGAGGCAGCAGAAGGGAAUCUUACGCAAUGGGCGAAAGCCUGGCGGAGCAACGCCACGUGAGUGAUGAAGGUCUUCGGAUCGUAAAACUCUGUUAUUAGGGAAGAACCACUGUGUAAGUAACUAUGCACGUCUUGACGGUACCUAAACAGAAAGCAACGGCUAACUACGUG